This 450-nucleotide ribosomal RNA is filed under the name uncultured Flavobacteriia bacterium. RNAcentral's name for it is "bacterial SSU rRNA". It matches the Rfam family "Bacterial small subunit ribosomal RNA", at positions 45 to 496 of the family's 1533-position model. The record is from RNAcentral. Lineage: Bacteria; Pseudomonadati; Bacteroidota; Flavobacteriia.
GGCCUAACACAUGCAAGUCGAGGGGUAUAUUUCUUCGGAGAUAGAGACCGGCGCACGGGUGCGUAACGCGUAUGCAAUCUGCCUUUCACAGAGGGAUAGCCCAGAGAAAUUUGGAUUAAUACCUCAUAGUAUUACAGGAUGGCAUCGUCCAGUAAUUAAAGUCACAACGGUGAAAGAUGAGCAUGCGUCCCAUUAGCUAGUUGGUAAGGUAACGGCUUACCAAGGCAACGAUGGGUAGGGGUCCUGAGAGGGAGAUCCCCCACACUGGUACUGAGACACGGACCAGACUCCUACGGGAGGCAGCAGUGAGGAAUAUUGGUCAAUGGGCGCAAGCCUGAACCAGCCAUGCCGCGUGCAGGAUGACGGUCCUAUGGAUUGUAAACUGCUUUUAUACGAGAAGAAACAUCCCGACGUGUCGGGACUUGACGGUAUCGUAAGAAUAAGGAUCGG